CAUCCCGCGUGAAGGAUGACGGUCCUAUGGAUUGUAAACUUCUUUUGUAUAGGGAUAAACCUAGAUACGUGUAUCUAGCUGAAGGUACUAUACGAAUAAGCACCGGCUAACUCCGUGCCAGCAGCCGCGGUAAUACGGAGGGUGCAAGCGUUAUCCGGAUUUAUUGGGUUUAAAGGGUCCGUAGGCGGGCCGAUAAGUCAGUGGUGAAAUCUCAUAGCUUAACUAUGAAACUGCCAUUGAUACUGUCGGUCUUGAGUAAAUUAGAGGUAGCUGGAAUAAGUAGUGUAGCGGUGAAAUGCAUAGAUAUUACUUAGAACACCAAUUGCGAAGCAGGUUACCAUGAUUUAACUGACGCUGAGGGACGAAAGCGUGGGGAGCGACAGGAUUAGAUACCUGGUAGUCCACGCCGUAAACGAUGCUACUCGUUUUUGGGGCGCAAGCUUCAGANACCAGCGAAAGUGAUAAGU
Molecule: ribosomal RNA, 467 nt
Filed under: uncultured bacterium
Lineage: Bacteria
Description: bacterial SSU rRNA
Rfam family: Bacterial small subunit ribosomal RNA
Source: RNAcentral